This is a non-coding RNA of Gossypium raimondii (Peruvian cotton), 115 nucleotides long. The record is from Rfam. Lineage: Eukaryota; Viridiplantae; Streptophyta; Magnoliopsida; Malvales; Malvaceae.
UGUGAAAAUUUUUAUUCAUUUGUACUAUUAAAAAUAGAUGUGAUGUGCUAUGUAUAUAUCAUGUUGACUUAUAAAGACCAGUUUUUAACAGUAAAAAUAAAUAUAAUUUUUAACA